GACGAACGCUGGCGGCGUGCUUAACACAUGCAAGUCGAACGGAAAGGCCCUGCUUUUGUGGGGUGCUCGAGUGGCGAACGGGUGAGUAACACGUGAGUAACCUGCCCUUGACUUUGGGAUAACUUCAGGAAACUGGGGCUAAUACCGGAUAGGAGCUCCUGCUGCAUGGUGGGGGUUGGAAAGUUUCGGCGGGUGGGGAUGGACUCGCGGCUUAUCAGCUUGUUGGUGGGGUAGUGGCUUACCAAGGCUUUGACGGGUAGCCGGCCUGAGAGGGUGACCGGCCACAUUGGGACUGGGAUACGGCCCAGACUCCUACGGGAGGCAGCAGGGGGGAUUAUUGCACAAUGGGCGGAAGCCUGAGGCAGCAACGCCGCGUGCGGAAUGACGGCCUUCGGGUGGUAAACCGCUUUCGCCUGUGACGAAGCGUUAGUGACGGUAAUGAGUAAAGAAGCACCGGCUAACUACGUG
This 468-nucleotide ribosomal RNA is filed under the name uncultured bacterium. Its description in RNAcentral is "partial 16S ribosomal RNA". It matches the Rfam family "Bacterial small subunit ribosomal RNA", at positions 28 to 507 of the family's 1533-position model. The record is from RNAcentral.